UGCAGCAGUACACUGUAGCAACCGUACUCAAGACGCGAUACAUUGUUUCAUUGCAUCGCAUAUGAAUGGGACGCUGACAUGACAUUCCCGACCACUGAUUUAUUACGUUGAGAACGCACUCUAACAAUAAACACUUGAAAAAAUAGCGACAAUCUUCAGAACGCCGUUGAUAUAGCAUGUUUUAUAGAACCAGUUUCGGUUUCGAUCGAAACCGGGACUGGUAGUAUAAAAGCUGUGAUAAUAUAAUGAAUUAUCAGCAGCGAUUUGAGGUUUGUGAUCACUUCAUUUGUGAAUUAGAGCUCCUAAACUUUCAACUAAAGCAACAAAGUUAAUGGUUGAAGAAGAUAUCAUGCCACUACGCCUUUAGUUAGCGGCACAACAUUCAUUUUGACGCCACUGCUAGCAACACUGGCAUUGUUUUUUUUCCAUUCCGUGGAGGAUUUUUUGUGCGUGAACGAUCGCCCGCUUGUGAAAAGUUAGUGCGACUCAGUGAUUCGUCUACGUAAGAUACCAAUUUCACAAGAACAAAAAGGUUAUAAGUGCGAAGAGCGUGCGGUGGUUUAACCGCAAGGACGUUGACGACUUCACCCCUGGGGAUGUCUUCAGUGCUUACUGGGAGCGGCGAUGAGAAGACCAAAGUCGGCUCUACGACACCGUGCUUCUGCAUAUGACAGUCCAAAGAAGAAAUGGACCAAUGUUUCAAUGCAUACGGAACAAAAAAAAAGAUACGCCGACCAGCCCAAACAAACAUUUAUGACGUCUCGGCUUUCAGCACGCAAGCCUUGAUCACAAUGAACGCAUCACCAGAAGUGCUUCAUUUAAAUGGGCUUGAGUAAUCACUGCAAAGGCUGUGCGUAGAUGGGGUUGCGAUUUCCGUCGUUAAGAUUAACUCUCUUGCAAGUGGUCUGUAUGAUAAGUGAUUCUAUACGUAGCCGAGAUGCUGCCAUAUUUUCUGUUGUGACGAUUUUUGCGUUGUCUCAAUCAAUCUUGUGGUCAUUCAUCACGGCGUGUUCAGCUAAAGCGUUGUUGUGGACGCUCUUAUUUUUUGUCACGAGCGUGCUGCUGCAGACGCUUCUUGUAGUUUCCUGACUCUCCGAUGUAAACACUCUUGCAGUCUGCCAAAAUAUCUAGUAAACUACACUGGGGAAAUGCUCCCUGAGCAGGCGGUCCUUCACUCUCACAAGUUGAUGGCGCAUCUUUUUGGGUGAAAUGUGUGCCACAUACAUGUCAUACUCACGUCGGACAUGUGCCAAACAUUCGCUUGUCGCAGAAAUAUGCGGUAGGGGGCUCGCUUCGUAGAGGCGGGGGCCAGCAGAGAGGAGGUGCGUCAAGGUGUCAUUGUCACGACAGUUGAAUUUCACCUCUGUGCACUCCGCUUUCAACAAGAGGGCUGUUGUCAGCACGCUGCUGCAGCGUGCCAAAAGAUUGGGCUCGAAGCCACAUGAUGCAGGCAUGGCAAAGGUACGGGAUGACCUCGAUCACUGUGGAUACCCUAGGCACUUUACCAGUGCAAUAGACUGUCAACUGUCAUGACGGGUACACACUUACGCGCCUGCUUCAGCAGAACACGCCAUGAUGAAUGACUACAAGAUUGAUUGGACCAACGCAAGAAUCGUCACAACAGAAAAAGUGACAGCAUCUUGGCUACGUAUGGAAUCGCUUAUCAUGCAGACCACUUGUAAAAGAGUUAAUCUUAACAACAGAAAUCUAAACGUGAUCAAUGCGAGGUCUUUGCAGCAAUUUCUCAAACCUAUUUAAAUGAACCGCUUCUGCUGAUGCAUUCAUUGUCAACAAGGCUUCCGUGCUCAAAGCCGAAACGUGAUAAACGUUUGUUUGGUCUGGUCGGCAUCUCUUUUUGUUUCAAAUGUACCGUGCCGGCCACACGGGAUUCCUUCAUGCUGUCGACUUCCAUGUCAACACAAAGAGUGCACAAACCGCAACAGAAGGUGAGGUAAUGGGAAAGCUGUAUAUCUUUUUUGCUUCGAAAGCUUUUCAGAUACAGCGCCCUAGCAUCCUUGGUUCUUACAUAACUCAUAUUAUGUGUAGCAUCUGGAAUACUGUACUCUAUGUCAAUAGUUUCUUGCUGCACUGGGGAAGCCGCAGGAUUCAUUUGCGGACAGAAAUGCCAAAUGUUCCUAAAUAUGCAUUAAUUUAUGCCAUGUCGUCACCUCAACGUCUGCUUGCCAUGUUGUCUGUGCCUCCUAUGUGCUUAGUGAAUUGACACAGCAAAUAUUUGGCAUUUUAACCAUAAACUGUGUUUACAUGAACGUGGCAGUAGGGCCUUGCUUCACAUAUACAUUUUCUCAGCAGUUUCCUGCAGCUUCCUUAGAUUUUAAGUAAGGACAAACACUUUGCACACAAGCGUAAAAAGACAUGGAAACACAUGAGCAUAAAGGUAUGUGCUAGCGCAAUUACAUGUCGUGCCACCAGGUGCCCUCUUUUUCAGAGGGCUCUAAAAUGCACUUUGGCACACGCCUGGCAGUCUCAUAACGUCUUGCAUUCGCCUUCACAACUUGAUGCCUUUCAUGUCCUGCACAACAGGAUUACUCUUCUUCAAAAUCAGUCACAUUUGUGCGCCAUGAAUGGGAAGCAUGGAGUGAUGUUUUGUCUUCUGUAUCUGGACCCAUGUGGAUGGUGCCAGCCAAGAAUGGCAAAAAUAAGGAAAACCUGUGCCACUCCCACAAUAUUUCAUGCCACUUGCCACUUCGUUGAAAAGGAGACUGCUGAGGAGGCGUUUCUGGAUGACACGGCCUCUACGAGCCUUCCAUUGUGGGAUGAACAGUUAUUCCCAUCAUUAGAGCCUUCACCAAAUGAGAUU
Long non-coding RNA from Rhipicephalus sanguineus (brown dog tick), 2818 nucleotides. RefSeq lists it as uncharacterized. The record is from RefSeq and is a predicted model, not a curated record. Lineage: Eukaryota; Metazoa; Arthropoda; Arachnida; Ixodida; Ixodidae. The transcript is spliced from 3 exons.